GAGCAGCCCUUGUAGAGUGGUGCUGACAUUGGGAUUAGGAUCUGUUCUAUGAGACCGUGACCAGCUGAUAAAUUGAAGUGGUAAUUUGGGAUUUAACCAAACAGAGCAGUAAAUGUAUCAGAAUGAUGAAAAUCCAAGACGAGAAAAGACUGGAGGAACCAUACAAGUUGGUAAUACAGCAAUUCACUGUACGAUUUACAAUGGUGCAUUAGCAACCCAGCAGCAGUGUGAUGUCAGAGCCUCAAAAAGACGUAUGCAAGAGAAGCAACUGGGCC
Molecule: long non-coding RNA, 275 nt
Filed under: Homo sapiens (human)
Lineage: Eukaryota; Metazoa; Chordata; Mammalia; Primates; Hominidae
Description: HSALNT0032041
Source: RNAcentral